This 527-nucleotide long non-coding RNA is filed under the name Cyanistes caeruleus (blue tit). Its description in RNAcentral is "lncRNA (ENSCCEG00000014704.1)". The record is from RNAcentral. Lineage: Eukaryota; Metazoa; Chordata; Aves; Passeriformes; Paridae.
CAUCACAGAGCCAGCUGUUGGUGUUUGGAAGUGCCCUGCACAGGCACUAGACCUGCUGGGCUGGGGAUGACGGACCUGUUGUGAAGACAAGAGCUAAGGAGACCAGUCCUCCAGCAAACAGAGCUGCCAGAAGGAGAUGUCUCCCACCAUCAAGCAGAGGCUGGCCAGCACUCAGGAGAUGAAUCUGCCCGAGGUUGUCCAGCUUCAAGACAAGAGCAAGACCUCCAUCACAAGGCUUCCCUCCAGCUCAUCAAAAUACCUCAGUGUCCAGGUCCUGCUGUCAUUUCAAACUGCUGGUGGAGUUCCUUCAGCUGGGAGAAAGGCAAGUGAGACACAAGUCCCAAUUUGUGCUAAGUCAACACAAAUAACCUCUGCUGAAUCUGGUGGGGUUUGCUGGAGUGUAACUGCCAUCCCUAAUGAGAGAAGGCUGGGGCAGGACACAAGGGAAUGAGCUUGCCAUUUUCCAUUCUUCUGCUGGAAGAGCCACCUCUUGCUUUGGUGUGGUCACUGUCAAAUGCUUAGGGUUA